This 64-nucleotide transfer RNA is filed under the name Phyllotreta tetrastigma. Its description in RNAcentral is "tRNA-Leu". Lineage: Eukaryota; Metazoa; Arthropoda; Insecta; Coleoptera; Chrysomelidae. The record is from RNAcentral.
UCUAAUAUGGCAGAUUAGUGCAUUGAACUUAAACCUCAAUUAUAAAGUUAUCCUUUUUUUAGAA